Molecule: ribosomal RNA, 253 nt
Filed under: uncultured bacterium
Lineage: Bacteria
Description: partial 16S ribosomal RNA
Rfam family: Bacterial small subunit ribosomal RNA
Source: RNAcentral
UACGUAGGAGACGAGCGUUGUCCGGAGUUACUGGGCGUAAAGAGCUCGUAGGUGGCCUGUCGCGUCGGCUGUGAAAACUCGGGGCUCAACUCCGAGCUUGCAGUCGAUACGGGCAGGCUAGAGUUCGGCAGGGGAGACUGGAAUUCCUGGUGUAGCGGUGAAAUGCGCAGAUAUCAGGAGGAACACCGGUGGCGAAGGCGGGUCUCUGGGCCGAUACUGACACUGAGGAGCGAAAGCGUGGGGAGCGAACAGG